This 131-nucleotide small nuclear RNA is filed under the name Penicillium subrubescens. RNAcentral describes it as "U4 spliceosomal RNA". It matches the Rfam family "U4 spliceosomal RNA". Rfam says of the family: U4 small nuclear RNA (U4 snRNA) is a component of the major U2-dependent spliceosome. The record is from Rfam by way of RNAcentral. Lineage: Eukaryota; Fungi; Ascomycota; Eurotiomycetes; Eurotiales; Aspergillaceae.
AUCCUAGUGCACGGGUUUUACACGUAUCAGUGAGGAGACAUCCGAGAUCGUGUUUUUGCUAGUUGAAAACUACCAAAUUGACCACUCUGUCUGGUCUUCGGAUCGGACAGGAAUUUUUGAACAAACAAGUU